AGAGUUUGAUCCUGGCUCAGGACGAACGCUGGCGGCGUGCUUAACACAUGCAAGUCGAACGAAGCUUGAUUACGGAUUCUUCGGAUGAAGUAUGAUAUGACUGAGUGGCGGACGGGUGAGUAACGCGUGAGUAACCUGCCCUUCAGAGGGGGAUAGCGUUUGGAAACGAACGGUAAUACCGCAUAAUGUAUUUUGACCGCAUGAUCGAAAUACCAAAGAUUUAUCGCUGAAGGAUGGACUCGCGUCUGAUUAGGUAGUUGGUGGGGUAACGGCCUACCAAGCCGACGAUCAGUAGCCGGACUGAGAGGUUGAUCGGCCACAUUGGGACUGAGACACGGCCCAGACUCCUACGGGAGGCAGCAGUGGGGAAUAUUGCACAAUGGGCGCAAGCCUGAUGCAGCAACGCCGCGUGAAGGAAGACGGUUUUCGGAUUGUAAACUUCUGUUCUUAGUGAAGAAUAAUGACGGUAGCUAAGGAGCAAGCCACGGCUAACUACGUGCCAGCAGCCGCGGUAAUACGUAGGUGGCAAGCGUUGUCCGGAAUUACUGGGUGUAAAGGGAGCGCAGGCGGGUGAUCAAGUCAGCUGUGAAAACUACGGGCUUAACCCGUAGACUGCAGUUGAAACUGUUCAUCUUGAGUGAAGUAGAGGUUGGCGGAAUUCCGAGUGUAGCGGUGAAAUGCGUAGAUAUUCGGAGGAACACCGGUGGCGAAGGCGGCCAACUGGGCUUUAACUGACGCUGAGGCUCGAAAGUGUGGGGAGCAAACAGGAUUAGAUACCCUGGUAGU
RNAcentral lists this ribosomal RNA (786 nucleotides) under uncultured bacterium. Its description in RNAcentral is "bacterial SSU rRNA". It matches the Rfam family "Bacterial small subunit ribosomal RNA", at positions 8 to 794 of the family's 1533-position model. The record is from RNAcentral.